GUUACAGAUCAGCUAAAUUAUCUAUAGCAAAGGAUCCUACAAAUUAAUGUAAGAUACAGUCACAGAAAAUAAUUAUAUUCAUAAGUACGUCUGAGUCAGUGACAACCCUACAACAGAUGUAUCCAUCGGAUCGCCAUCAAUGAUGGUGAUACAUGGCUGUGUACAUAAUGUAUAUACAACUCGUCUAAACAUCAACCCAACAAUGUUAGAUCUGUAAAUUUGCUUUCGCAAAUUUUUGGUUUUUCCCUCGCCGGGAUUCGAACCCAUGCUACUGUGAUAUCG
This 282-nucleotide long non-coding RNA is filed under the name Mytilus galloprovincialis (Mediterranean mussel). The record is from RNAcentral. Lineage: Eukaryota; Metazoa; Mollusca; Bivalvia; Mytilida; Mytilidae.